CCUACGGGAGGCAGCAGUGAGGAAUAUUGGUCAAUGGCCGGAAGGCUGAACCAGCCAUGCCGCGUGAAGGUCAGUGCUCUAUGGGCGUUAAACUUCUUUUGUGCGGGAGCAAUAAUGGUCACGUGUGGCCAGACGAGAGUACCGUACGAAUAAGCAUCGGCUAACUCCGUGCCAGCCGCCGCGGUAAUACGGGGGAUGCAAGCGUUAUCCGGAUUUAGUGGGUUUAAAGGGUGCGUAGGCUGUGAGGUAAGUCAGCGGUGAAAUGCCCCCGAUCAACGGGGUGAAGUGCCAUUGAAACUGGCUUGCUUGAAUGCGGAUGACGUGGGAGGAAUGUGUGGUGUAGCGGUGAAAUGCAUAGAUAUCACACAGAACACCGAUUGCGAAGGCAUCUCACGAAUCCGCGAUUGACGCUGAGGCACGAAAGCGUGGGUAUCAAACAGGAUUAGAUACCCGAGUAGUC
RNAcentral lists this ribosomal RNA (460 nucleotides) under uncultured bacterium. Its description in RNAcentral is "partial 16S ribosomal RNA". It matches the Rfam family "Bacterial small subunit ribosomal RNA", at positions 338 to 795 of the family's 1533-position model. The record is from RNAcentral.